RNAcentral lists this ribosomal RNA (414 nucleotides) under uncultured microorganism. RNAcentral describes it as "bacterial SSU rRNA". It matches the Rfam family "Archaeal small subunit ribosomal RNA", at positions 459 to 872 of the family's 1478-position model. The record is from RNAcentral.
CAGCCGCCGCGAUAAUACCGGCGGCCCGAGUGGCGGUCACUAUUAUUGGGCUUAAAGCGUCCGUAGCCGGGUUGGGAAGUCCUCCGGGAAAUCUGGCCGCUUAACGGUCAGAAUGCCGGAGGAUACUCCCAGCCUAGGGAGCGGGAGAGGCCGAGGGGAUUCCCGGAGUAGGGGGGAAAUCCUAUAAUCCCGGGAGGACCACCUGUGGCGAAGGCGCUCGGCUGGAACGCGUCCGACGGUGAGGGACGAAGGCCAGGGGAGCAAACCGGAUUAGAUACCCGGGUAGUCCUGGCUGUAAACGAUGCGGACUUUGUGUCGGACAAGCUAUGAGCUUGUCCGGUGCCGGAGGGAAACCGUUAAGUCCGCCGCCUGGGGAGUACGGCCGCAAGGCUGAAACUUAAAGGAAUUGGCGGG